CAAUAGCGUAUAUUAAAGUUGUUGCAGUUAAAAAGCUCGUAGUUGGACCUUGGACCUGGACAGGCGGUCCGCCUCACGGCGUGUACUGUCUUGCUGGGUCUUUCCUCUUGGUGAUCUGUUGUUUCGGCAGCAGGGAGCCAGGACUUUUACUUUGAAAAAAUUAGAGUGUUCAAAGCAGGCUCGACGCCGGAAUAUAUUAGCAUGGAAUAAUAAAAUAGGGCGUGCGGUUCUAUUUUGUUGGUUUUUGGAAUCGCCGUAAUGAUUAAUAGGGACAGUCGGGGGCAUUAGUACUCACAUGCUAGAGGUGAAAUUCUUGGAUUUUGUGAAGACUAACUUCUGCGAAAGCAUUUGCCAAGGAUGUUUUCAUUAA
Molecule: ribosomal RNA, 370 nt
Filed under: uncultured eukaryote
Lineage: Eukaryota
Description: partial 18S ribosomal RNA
Rfam family: Eukaryotic small subunit ribosomal RNA
Source: RNAcentral